This 453-nucleotide ribosomal RNA is filed under the name uncultured Pseudomonas sp. RNAcentral describes it as "bacterial SSU rRNA". It matches the Rfam family "Bacterial small subunit ribosomal RNA", at positions 930 to 1382 of the family's 1533-position model. Lineage: Bacteria; Pseudomonadati; Pseudomonadota; Gammaproteobacteria; Pseudomonadales; Pseudomonadaceae. The record is from RNAcentral.
CGGUGGAGCAUGUGGUUUAAUUCGAAGCAACGCGAAGAACCUUACCAGGCCUUGACAUGCAGAGAACUUUCCAGAGAUGGAUUGGUGCCUUCGGGAACUCUGACACAGGUGCUGCACGGCUGUCGUCAGCUCGUGUCGUGAGAUGUUGGGUUAAGUCCCGUAACGAGCGCAACCCUUGUCCUUAGUUACCAGCACGUUAUGGUGGGCACUCUAAGGAGACUGCCGGUGACAAACCGGAGGAAGGUGGGGAUGACGUCAAGUCAUCAUGGCCCUUACGGCCUGGGCUACACACGUGCUACAAUGGUCGGUACAAAGGGUUGCCAAGCCGCGAGGUGGAGCUAAUCCCAUAAAACCGAUCGUAGUCCGGAUCGCAGUCUGCAACUCGACUGCGUGAAGUCGGAAUCGCUAGUAAUCGUGAAUCAGAAUGUCACGGUGAAUACGUUCCCGGGCCUU